UGCCAGCCGCCGCGGUAAGACGAAGGUGGCAACCGUUGUUCGGAAUUACUGGGCAUAAAGCGCGCGUAGGCGGCGACAUCAGUCAGGUGUGAAAUCCCUCGGCCCAACCGAGGAACUGCGCUUGAUACUGUGUCGCUUGAGGAUGGGAGGGGAGCGUGGAAUUCCUGGUGGAGCGGUGAAAUGCGUUGAUAUCAGGAGGAACACCGGCGGCGAAGGCGACGCUCUGGCCCAUUUCUGACGCUGAGGUGCGAAAGCUAGGGUAGCAAACGGGAUUAGAUA
Molecule: ribosomal RNA, 279 nt
Filed under: uncultured bacterium
Lineage: Bacteria
Description: partial 16S ribosomal RNA
Rfam family: Bacterial small subunit ribosomal RNA
Source: RNAcentral